This 517-nucleotide ribosomal RNA is filed under the name uncultured Pseudomonadota bacterium. RNAcentral's name for it is "bacterial SSU rRNA". It matches the Rfam family "Bacterial small subunit ribosomal RNA", at positions 387 to 896 of the family's 1533-position model. The record is from RNAcentral. Lineage: Bacteria; Pseudomonadati; Pseudomonadota.
CGCAGCAACGCCGCGUGUGUGAUGAAGGUUUUCGGAUCGUAAAGCACUUUCGAUCGGGACGAACACCCCUGAGCUAACAUCUCAGGGCCUGACGGUACCGGGAGAAGAAGCACCGGCUAACUCUGUGCCAGCAGCCGCGGUAAUACAGAGGGUGCAAGCGUUGUUCGGAAUUAUUGGGCGUAAAGCGCGUGUAGGCGGCUUUGCAAGUCGGGUGUGAAAGCCCUCAGCUUAACUGAGGAAGUGCGCCCGAAACUGCUUAGCUUGAGUACCGGAGAGGGUGGCGGAAUUCCCCAAGUAGAGGUGAAAUUCGUAGAUAUGGGGAGGAACACCGGUGGCGAAGGCGGCCACCUGGACGGAUACUGACGCUGAGACGCGAAAGCGUGGGGAGCAAACAGGAUUAGAUACCCUGGUAGUCCACGCCGUAAACGAUGAGAACUAGGUGUCGUGGGUGUUGACCCCCGCGGUGCCGUAGCUAACGCAUUAAGUUCUCCGCCUGGGAAGUACGGCCGCAAGGCUA